AACCGCGAAAAGUUCGUUCUUUAUCGAAAGAAGCCGUAACAAACGCUUCGAGUCGGAAGACGGCCCAAAGGGACCUAAGACAUGACUCGAAGCCCAACUUACGAUUUCUUAACCAACAUCCCGUAAGCCGCAUGACGAUUUACGCUUGGUUCGCAAUAAAUACGAAAUUUUGAAGAAAAUUACGAAGAUCGGAAAAAAAUGGAAUAUCUCCAUUUUUAUACUA
This 223-nucleotide long non-coding RNA is filed under the name Brassica napus (rape). RNAcentral describes it as "long non-coding RNA (BNAP_LNC021553)". Lineage: Eukaryota; Viridiplantae; Streptophyta; Magnoliopsida; Brassicales; Brassicaceae. The record is from RNAcentral.